AACGAACGCUGGCGGCAUGCCUAACACAUGCAAGUCGAACGAGACCUUCGGGUCUAGUGGCGCACGGGUGCGUAACGCGUGGGAACCUGCCCUUAGGUUCGGAAUAACUCCCCGAAAGGGGUGCUAAUACCGGAUAAUGUCUUCGGACCAAAGAUUUAUCGCCUUUGGCUGGGCCCGCGUUGGAUUAGCUAGUUGGUAGGGUAAAAGCCUACCAAGGCGACGAUCCAUAGCUGGUCUGAGAGGAUGAUCAGCCACACUGGGACUGAGACACGGCCCAGACUCCUACGGGAGGCAGCAGUGGGGAAUAUUGGACAAUGGGCGAAAGCCUGAUCCAGCAAUGCCGCGUGAGUGAUGAAGGCCUUAGGGUUGUAAAGCUCUUUUACCCGGGAUGAUAAUGACAGUACCGGGAGAAUAAGCUCCGGCUAACCCCGUG
RNAcentral lists this ribosomal RNA (433 nucleotides) under uncultured bacterium. Its description in RNAcentral is "partial 16S ribosomal RNA". It matches the Rfam family "Bacterial small subunit ribosomal RNA", at positions 29 to 507 of the family's 1533-position model. The record is from RNAcentral.